Molecule: long non-coding RNA, 352 nt
Filed under: Brassica napus (rape)
Lineage: Eukaryota; Viridiplantae; Streptophyta; Magnoliopsida; Brassicales; Brassicaceae
Description: long non-coding RNA (BNAP_LNC014415)
Source: RNAcentral
AGAAGGACCGGACAUCUUUUAUCGUGUAAAGAAUAUAUGAAAAAUCUGAAAAGUUCUAUUCCACAACUACAUUGAGCAUUAGUUUCUGAUUAAAUUUUAAUAAAAAUAUACUGAAUUUGUAAAUUGAUUACUACUAGUACUAGUCAUAUCCAUAUCUGGAAAAUACAGGACCAAUCGCAAUAACUUUUAAAAAGAGCAUAACAUUUAGAGAUGAUUAACUUCACCUAAAUAAAACAAAUACAGUUAACUGAAAUAUGAAAAAAAAAAUCUUAGUAAGAUGGAUGCAAGUCAAAUUGAAAGUCGGUGGGAAACUGUUUGAUCACUUUCAUAUGAUCACGACUGAAUCAAUAAA